Long non-coding RNA from Lethenteron reissneri (Far Eastern brook lamprey), 367 nucleotides. RefSeq lists it as uncharacterized. The record is from RefSeq and is a predicted model, not a curated record. Lineage: Eukaryota; Metazoa; Chordata; Hyperoartia; Petromyzontiformes; Petromyzontidae.
UUAAACCUCCUGAGCUGUUUGAUGAUUUCAGUUGCGAGUCGGUUGGGGGCAGUCGCCCUGCUUCGCUGCCACUCCGCACAGAACCUCCGCUACGCCAGAUACUGAAGAAUGGGCACCGCUGAGGGGUCGCCAGCCCCCAAGAGGACCGUGAGCCCGUCUCGGAGGCCCCGUCACAAGCACCGCACUACAGAGUGCUUUAUGGGCACCUCCUUCUUGGCGACAAGGAGGCCGGGAGCCGAGACAAAAGCACGGAGGAGCGCCCGGCCUCCCCUCCCGGCUCGCCGCAGGGCGACACGGCCACGGCCGCCACCACCGCCACCAUACCCCCUCGUCAUCUUCAACCCUCAACAUCUCCACCAUCUCGGCG